This 1048-nucleotide ribosomal RNA is filed under the name Colasposoma sp. EMHAU-15070314. Its description in RNAcentral is "16S ribosomal RNA". The stretch from base 628 to 1048 matches the Rfam family "Bacterial large subunit ribosomal RNA", at positions 2048 to 2697 of the family's 2925-position model. The record is from RNAcentral. Lineage: Eukaryota; Metazoa; Arthropoda; Insecta; Coleoptera; Chrysomelidae.
CCCGAAUUUAAAAGAGCUAUAUUUAUAAGAAUUUAUUGUUGAAUAAAUAUUUUAAAUAUAAUUAUAGAAAUGAAAUGUUAUUCGUUUUUAAAUUUAUCUGGUUUUUUAAGAAAUGAAUUUAAUUCUUUUGUUAAUUAAAUAAAGUUUCUAUUUUUGAAUUUUUAUUAUUAACAAGAAAUUUUUUAGGGGAUUAGCUUUAACAAAAAUUGGUUAUUAAUUUUUAAAAAAAUUGUUUUUAAUUAGGAAAUAAAAUUUUUCUUUUUUGUUGUAUUUUAUAAUUAAAAUUAUGUUGUUUAUAAUUUUUAUUUUUUAUAAUUUUUUUAUUAAAAUUUAUACUUUAAUAUUAAUUGUAUAUUAAUUAUGUUAAAAUUAGUAGAAUUUUUAGUAUAUUUAUUAAUAAAAUAAAGAUUAAUUUGAGGAAUUCGGCAAGAGUUUAUUCACCUGUUUAAUAAAAACAUGUCUUAUUGUUAAAUAAUUUUAAGUCUAACCUGCCCAUUGAUUAAGGUUUAACGGCUGCAGUAAUUUGACUGUACUAAGGUAGCAUAAUCAUUAGUUUUUUAAUUGGAAACUGGUAUGAAGGGUUGAAUGAGAUAAAAUCUGUCUUUAUUUAAAAUUUUGAAUUUUAUUUUUAAGUUAAAAAGCUUAAAUUUAAUUAAAAGACGAGAAGACCCUUUAGAGUUUUAUAUUGUUAUAUAAUGAUUUUUUUGGUAUAUAUUUAAUUUAUGUUAGUAUAUUUGAUUGGGGUGAUUAUUAAAUUAGAUAAACUUUAAUAUUUUUUUACAAUAAUAAUUGGUUUAUUUGAUCCAUUUUUAGUGAUUAUUAGAAUAAAUUACCUAAGGGAUAACAGCGUAAUUUUUUUGAAGAGUUCAAAUCGAUAAAAGGGAUUGCGACCUCGAUGUUGGAUUAAAGUUAAUAAUUAAGUGCAGAAGUUAAUUAAUUUGGUCUGUUCGACCAUUAAAACUUUACAUGAUCUGAGUUUAAACCGGUGUGAGCCAGGUUGGUUUCUAUCUUUAAUUGAAAAAUUUAUUUUAGUACGAAAGGACCAAAU